This 665-nucleotide ribosomal RNA is filed under the name Bacillus sp. (in: firmicutes). Its description in RNAcentral is "bacterial SSU rRNA". It matches the Rfam family "Bacterial small subunit ribosomal RNA", at positions 70 to 720 of the family's 1533-position model. Lineage: Bacteria; Bacillati; Bacillota; Bacilli; Caryophanales; Bacillaceae. The record is from RNAcentral.
AGAAGGGAGCUUGCUCCCUGAUGUUAGCGGCGGACGGGUGAGUAACACGUGGGUAACCUGCCUGUAAGACUGGGAUAACUCCGGGAAACCGGAGCUAAUACCGGAUAGUUCCUUGAACCGCAUGGUUCAAGGAUGAAAGACGGUUUCGGCUGUCACUUACAGAUGGACCCGCGGCGCAUUAGCUAGUUGGUGGGGUAAUGGCUCACCAAGGCGACGAUGCGUAGCCGACCUGAGAGGGUGAUCGGCCACACUGGGACUGAGACACGGCCCAGACUCCUACGGGAGGCAGCAGUAGGGAAUCUUCCGCAAUGGACGAAAGUCUGACGGAGCAACGCCGCGUGAGUGAUGAAGGUUUUCGGAUCGUAAAGCUCUGUUGUUAGGGAAGAACAAGUGCGAGAGUAACUGCUCGCACCUUGACGGUACCUAACCAGAAAGCCACGGCUAACUACGUGCCAGCAGCCGCGGUAAUACGUAGGUGGCAAGCGUUGUCCGGAAUUAUUGGGCGUAAAGGGCUCGCAGGCGGUUUCUUAAGUCUGAUGUGAAAGCCCCCGGCUCAACCGGGGAGGGUCAUUGGAAACUGGGAAACUUGAGUGCAGAAGAGGAGAGUGGAAUUCCACGUGUAGCGGUGAAAUGCGUAAAGAUGUGGAGGAACACCAGUGGCGAAG